CCCCCGGAAUCCUUGGUAAUCUGUCAGUGGGAGGUCCUUGUUCCCAGUCCCUCGCAUUUUUCAGCCCCGCCGAGCCCUACAAGUCUCAGCUAUGCGUGAGUGCAUCUCCAUCCAUGUUGGCCAAGCUGGUGUCCAGAUCGGCAAUGCCUGCUGGGAGCUCUACUGCCUGGAACACGGCAUCCAGCCCGAUGGCCAGAUGCCAAGUGACAAGACCAUUGGUGGGGGAGAUGACUCCUUCAACACCUUCUUCAGUGAGACAGGCGCUGGCAAGCAUGUGCCCAGGGCAGUGUUUGUAGACCUGGAACCCACAGUCAUUGAUGAAGUUCGAAAUGGCACCUACCACCAGCUCUUCCACCCUGAGCAGCUGAUCACCGGCAAGGAAGAUGCUGCCAAUAACUAUGCCCGUGGANCCUACACUAACCUUAACCGCCUUAUUAGCCAGAUUGUGUCCUCCAUCACUGCAUCCCUCAGGUUUGAUGGAGCCCUGAAUGUUGAUCUGACUGAAUUCCAGACCAACCUGGUGCCCUAUCCCCGCAUCCACUUCCCUCUGGCCACAUAUGCCCCUGUCAUCUCUGCUGAGAAAGCCUACCAUGAGCAGCUUACUGUAGCAGAAAUCACCAAUGCGUGCUUUGAGCCAGCCAACCAGAUGGUGAAAUGUGACCCUCGCCAUGGUAAAUACAUGGCUUGCUGCCUGUUGUACCGUGGUGACGUGGUCCCCAAAGAUGUCAAUGCUGCCAUUGCCACCAUCAAGACCAAGCGCAGCAUCCAGUUUGUGGACUGGUGCCCCACUGGCUUCAAAGUUGGCAUUAACUACCAGCCUCCCACUGUGGUCCCUGGUGGAGACCUGGCCAAAGUACAGAAAGCUGUGUGCAUGCUGAGCAACACCACAGCUAUUGCUGAGGCCUGGGCUUGCCUGGACCACAAGUUUGACCCGAUGUAUGCCAAGUGUGCCUUUGUCCACGGUACGUGGGUGAGGGCAUGGAGGAAGAAGAGUUUUCUGAGGCCCGUGAGGACAUGGCUGCCCUUGAGAAGGAUUAUGAGGAGGUUGGAGCAGAUAGUAUUGAGGGAGAGGAUGAGGGUGAGGAGUACUAACCUGUCAGCUGUGAUGUUACACUCCAGCGUCUUGGGAUUGUCUUAUUUCUGUUGUUCUGUGAAGUCUAUUGUGUCCUAAACUUUGCAAUAAAGUGGUUUUCAUUUUGAAUGUCAAAAAAAA
This is an RNA transcript of Myotis brandtii (Brandt's bat), 1213 nucleotides long. It is a transcript of the gene named tubulin alpha-1C chain-like, with no coding region annotated. NCBI's taxonomy places the organism in Eukaryota, Metazoa, Chordata, Mammalia, Chiroptera, Vespertilionidae. The record is from RefSeq and is a predicted model, not a curated record. The transcript has 2 exons.